CAACCUUUAGCGCAUGGAGUAUGCAAAGGGAGACGAAAGUUUGUUUGUGUCACGCUGAUUGUGCAUCUGGAUGUUGGUUCUCCAGAAAGAAAACUUGGAACGUUGGAACAUACCAUAAUCAUCAGUGGUCCAGUAUGCUUUGUCUGUAUUGUUACUAUAAUACUCCUUUCAAUGUAGAAACAGAAAUGCAGACUGCAACAGUACAGGCAACAAGUAGAAGUAGAACUUAUAGUUGGACAACCUGUCAAAGGAAACAGCAUUAGAGAUAUGAUAGAUAUGACCACCUCAGGUUCAGGAUCAGACAAUGGAAUGUGAACACAAUUAUGGUUGAUAACUGACUAUCAUGAAAUGGAUCUCUGUUUGACUAUUUGAGUUGGUCCACAGUGGAUCCAAGUACCAUGUACAAAAUGGACUACUCUAUAGCCAAUGGUCUGGCACCUACAUAAGGAAAUUAUAGGAGCUCAAGGUCUGGGACUAGCUGUCCAUUAUGAUCCUACCACAAAUUCUAUGGAUAUCCCUACCAACCCCAGAGUGGGUACAAAAUGAUAUCCUGGCUCCUGAGGAGGUACUAGAUGAAGUCAUGAACAUCAAUCAUUUUGACUCUUUCAAACGUGCAGAUGUAUAUGCUUUUGGCCUUGUCUUAUGGGAAACAGCAUGGCGAUGUAAUAUUGAUGGCUUCUAUGAAGACUUUCAGCUGCCUUAUAGUGAUAUAGUACCAUCAGAUCCGACCAUUGAAGAAUGUGAAAAAGUUGUCUGCAUAAAUAGGCAGAGACCUCCCAU
RNAcentral lists this long non-coding RNA (780 nucleotides) under Limulus polyphemus (Atlantic horseshoe crab). RNAcentral describes it as "uncharacterized LOC106472918, transcript variant X2". Lineage: Eukaryota; Metazoa; Arthropoda; Merostomata; Xiphosura; Limulidae. The record is from RNAcentral.